GACGAACGCUGGCGGCGUGCUUAACACAUGCAAGUCGAACGGAAAGGCCCUGCUUUUGUGGGGUGCUCGAGUGGCGAACGGGUGAGUAACACGUGAGUAACCUGCUCUUGACUUCGGGAUAACUUCAGGAAACUGGGGCUAAUACCGGAUAGGAGCUCCUGCUGCAUGGUGGGGGUUGGAAAGUUUCGGCGGUUGGGGAUGGACUCGCGGCUUAUCAGCUUGUUGGUGGGGUAGUGGCUUACCAAGGCUUUGACGGGUAGCCGGCCUGAGAGGGUGACCGGCCACAUUGGGACUGAGAUACGGCCCAGACUCCUACGGGAGGCAGCAGUGGGGAAUAUUGCACAAUGGGCGGAAGCCUGAUGCAGCAACGCCGCGUGCGGGAUGACGGCCUUCGGGUUGUAAACCGCUUUCGCCUGUGACGAAGCGUGAGUGACGGUAAUGGGUAAAGAAGCACCGGCUAACUACGUG
RNAcentral lists this ribosomal RNA (468 nucleotides) under uncultured bacterium. RNAcentral's name for it is "partial 16S ribosomal RNA". It matches the Rfam family "Bacterial small subunit ribosomal RNA", at positions 28 to 507 of the family's 1533-position model. The record is from RNAcentral.